GGUAAGUUACAGCUCAGUGGUAGAGUGUGUGCUUAGCAUGCACAAGGUCCUGGGUUCAAUCCCCACGACCUCCA
Camelus ferus (Wild Bactrian camel) is the source of this 74-nucleotide non-coding RNA. Lineage: Eukaryota; Metazoa; Chordata; Mammalia; Artiodactyla; Camelidae. The record is from Rfam.